CCCUUAGAUGUUCUGGGCCGCACACGCGCUACACUGACGAAUGCAACGAGCUUAUAACCUUGGCCGAAAGGUCUGGGUAAUCUCCAAAUUUCGUCGUGAUGGGGAUAGAUUAUUGCAAUUAUUAAUCUUCAACGAGGAAUGCCUAGUAAGCGCAAGUCAUCAGCUUGCGUUGAUUACGUCCCUGCCCUUUGUACACACCGCCCGUCGCUCCUACCGAUUGAAUGGUCCGGUGAAGCGUUCGGACCGUGGCCUUUGGACGGUUCGCCGUCUGUUGGCUGCGGGAAGUUCGUUAAACCUUAUCAUUUAGAGGAAGGAGAANUCGUAACA
Molecule: ribosomal RNA, 327 nt
Filed under: uncultured eukaryote
Lineage: Eukaryota
Description: partial 18S ribosomal RNA
Rfam family: Eukaryotic small subunit ribosomal RNA
Source: RNAcentral